RNAcentral lists this ribosomal RNA (253 nucleotides) under uncultured bacterium. Its description in RNAcentral is "partial 16S ribosomal RNA". It matches the Rfam family "Bacterial small subunit ribosomal RNA", at positions 524 to 776 of the family's 1533-position model. The record is from RNAcentral.
UACGUAGGGUGCGAGCGUUAAUCGGAAUUACUGGGCGUAAAGCGUGCGCAGGCGGUUCGUUAUGUCCGUUGUGAAAGCCCCGGGCUCAACCUGGGAAUGGCAAUGGAAACUGGCGGGCUAGAGUGUGGCAGAGGGGGGUGGAAUUCCGCGUGUAGCAGUGAAAUGCGUAGAGAUCGGGAGGAACAUCCGUGGCGAAGGCGACUACCUGGACCAGCACUGACACUGAGGCACGAAAGCGUGGGGAGCAAACAGG